This 306-nucleotide long non-coding RNA is filed under the name Homo sapiens (human). RNAcentral's name for it is "HSALNT0321509". The record is from RNAcentral. Lineage: Eukaryota; Metazoa; Chordata; Mammalia; Primates; Hominidae.
CUGGAGCUGAGCACAACCCCCAGGUCACAUCCAACAAAGAAACAGGGACCUCAGUCCUAUAAACACCACCAACAGAAUGAACUUGGAAGCAGAUUUUCCCCCAGAGCAUCCAGAUAAGAACUCAGUCCACUCAACAUCUUCAGCUUUGUGAUAUUCCAGGCAUAUUGUGCUGAACUUCUGACUUACAGAACUUCCUGAAAGGAUUAUAAAAGCAAGAAAGAAACAUGGACUCUAAGAAUUAACAACAGUGUGGGAAGCCACGGAGGAGAUUUAUGACUACCCUAAAUUGGUUUGUGUUUGGAUGGU